Molecule: ribosomal RNA, 498 nt
Filed under: uncultured bacterium
Lineage: Bacteria
Description: bacterial SSU rRNA
Rfam family: Bacterial small subunit ribosomal RNA
Source: RNAcentral
AUGAACGCUAGCGACAGGCUUAACACAUGCAAGUCGAGGGGUAACAGGGUAGCAAUACCGCUGACGACCGGCGCACGGGUGAGUAACGCGUAUGCAACCUGCCUAUAACUGGGGAAUAGCUCCCUGAAAGGGGGAAUUAACACCGCAUAACACUAUUGAUUCGCAUGGAUUAGUAGUUAAAUGUAGCGAUACAGGUUAUAGAUGGGCAUGCGUGACAUUAGCUAGUUGGUGAGGUAACGGCUCACCAAGGCUACGAUGUCUAGGGGUUCUGAGAGGAAGGUCCCCCACACUGGUACUGAGACACGGACCAGACUCCUACGGGAGGCAGCAGUGAGGAAUAUUGGUCAAUGGGCGCAAGCCUGAACCAGCCAUGUCGCGUGCAGGAAGACUCGCCCUAUGGGUUGUAAACUGCUUUUAUAGUAGAAGAAACACAUCUACGUGUAGAUGUCUGCCAGUAUACUAUGAAUAAGCAUCGGCUAACUCCGUGCCAGCAGCGGC